This 1031-nucleotide long non-coding RNA is filed under the name Equus asinus (donkey). RNAcentral's name for it is "lncRNA (ENSEASG00005028786.1, ENSEASG00020022600.1)". Lineage: Eukaryota; Metazoa; Chordata; Mammalia; Perissodactyla; Equidae. The record is from RNAcentral.
CCUGUUUCUUGUUUUCUGAUUCUCGGUCUUUCCACCAUACCAUAAUGUCUUUCUGGGCAGGGAUGCCCACCUCAGACUCCAAGGAGGAAGUGCUGAGCUGGGCUUUGAUGGAUAGAGAGUAAGGAAGCGUCUCUGGGAAGCCAUCAGCACAGUCUCCUUUCCUGAGUGUAAACAAGGAUCCCAGGCCUUUCUUGGGAGCUUUCCGACCCCAGUGAAUAAACGUUCGUCACCCCCACCAGUCUGUUCUGCUUACCCCAACUCUCCACAGCAGUCUCUGCGUGAACGUGGAUGCUCUUGAGGAUCAUACUCCCUCCAUGUGUGUAGGUCAUAUACAUAUGGGGGUGGGGGUGGGGACAUAGUAAUAAUAAUACAUGUCGUAGCACUUUCAUACACAUUCAUUCUCUCAUCUGAUCUUUUAGCAACCCUGACAGAUAAAGAGAGUAGAUAUUUUUAUUCCCUUUCUACUUAUGAAGAAACUAAUCUCAGAGAGGUGGAGGGGCUGAUCUAAUACUGUUUGGUGCCAGAGGGACGCAUUUUAUCUAAAUGUAAAUGUACGCUGCCGGGUGAGACUUCCAUGUAAACAAAGAAAUUGGAUAAUUUUAAUUUUUUGCAUCCUCUAACAACAGCAUAAUGGGUUAGGUAGUUACUUCAUGAGCAAUGUUGAAGAGAAGAAUGAGCAUAUAAGUGGCAUUAUAAUUAUCAUAAAAACCCUCUAAAGAUCCCCAGAUUUCCCAUCUGCAGAUGACACCGGAGGAGGCAGCUCUUUGACGUGGGUGGCUCUGAAUGCUAAUGGAGUUAUUGUUUUCUCCCGUGUACAUCCUGGGACCCAAUGCCCCGUGCGGAGGUGCUGGGGAGGCUGUGUGAGCUGCACACUCCCGCCGUCUUUCAAGGGCAGCUUUAAGGUCACGUUAUUCUCCACAAGGCUGGCACCGCUUCUCUUCUCACCCUGCAGGGUCCCACACUGUCAUCUGUCAAGAGCUUCCUCCAAAUUUCAAUGCAGAUGAAAUUCACCCAGACCAUGUGUGACUGCA